AUUGAACGCUGGCGGCAGGCUUAACACAUGCAAGUCGAGCGGGGUGAUGGUGCUUGCACUAUCACUUAGCGGCGGACGGGUGAGUAAUGCUUAGGAAUCUGCCUAUUAGUGGGGGACAACAUCUCGAAAGGGAUGCUAAUACCGCAUACGUCCUACGGGAGAAAGCAGGGGAUCACUUGUGACCUUGCGCUAAUAGAUGAGCCUAGGUCGGAUUAGCUAGUUGGUGGGGUAAAGGCCUACCAAGGCGACGAUCUGUAGCGGGUCUGAGGGGAUGAUCCGCCACACUGGGACUGAGACACGGCCCAGACUCCUACGGGAGGCAGCAGUGGGGAAUAUUGGACAAUGGGGGGAACCCUGAUCCAGCCAUGCCGCGUGUGUGAAGAAGGCCUUAUGGUUGUAAAGCACUUUAAGCGAGGAGGAGGCUCUUUUGGUUAAUACCCAAGAUGAGUGGACGUUACUCGCAGAAUAAGCACCGGCUAACUCUGUGCCAGCAGCCGCAGUAA
This 503-nucleotide ribosomal RNA is filed under the name uncultured bacterium. RNAcentral's name for it is "partial 16S ribosomal RNA". It matches the Rfam family "Bacterial small subunit ribosomal RNA", at positions 30 to 523 of the family's 1533-position model. The record is from RNAcentral.